Non-coding RNA from Danio rerio (zebrafish), 4068 nucleotides. NCBI's taxonomy places the organism in Eukaryota, Metazoa, Chordata, Actinopteri, Cypriniformes, Danionidae. The record is from RefSeq and is a predicted model, not a curated record.
CUCAACUUCACAAGGCUAAAAGUGCUCGUAGUUGAAGAAUGGCCCAUCUACCAAGCCAGGUCAGAGGUCAUGGAGAGCUCUCGAGGGGAACUGGAUUCCUGGUGGAUUAAAACAACUGAUUCCUGAGUUUUUCUAUUUUAUGUGUAAAUUCUCUGUAAAGUAAUUUUCUUUGUAUGCAGGAGAGAUUUUCUGUCUUAAAAUGCUUGAUUAACAAUGUGGAAAUAUCAAACCAAUACGAAUGUAAUGUGAAACCUGAAUAUUAGCCUGUAGGUAAUUAAUGCGCCACUCAUCAAUAAAGACACAUAGAACUUGUUUGACGAGCUCUUAUAUUGGGGAUGCAGAAUGUUUUCAUUGCUUACAGAUUUAAUUGACGCAGACACAAAUGAUAAUUUUACCAACAAAAAUAUGAACACAUUUCCUUUACUAAAUGCCUUAUAAAGAUGACUGGCUGCUUUAUUUUUAAUCCUAUAUUGUAUUAAGCCGUUCAAUAAGUUUUAAAUUAUGAGUAUUUCUGUUGCUGAAUGAAAACGCAAUGAGCGGAUGUAAAAAAUCUUGUGAAUUCUGCAAGAGGCAGAUUUGGUCAGUCUUUCUCCAAUAGUAUCUGCAUGCAGACUUGGAUUUGCAAGCUGAGACUGCAUAUAUCAGACUUACAAUGUCAGACGCUGCACUCAAUGAAGCAAAUGACGUCAUUGUGAGGGGCGGGGUUUGUAUGUGCAUUAAAGCGCAGAUCCCAUUCGCUCCACUAGGCGGCAUCAGCGAGCUGCUCUUUUAGUCUGAACAACUUUGACAACAACGACACCAGAUCAGCCUAGGUACACGGUUUUACUGGCGUCAAGUUGAGCUCCAGUAGCAGAUGACAGCUCAGUGCCAGACUCAUAAUGUCAGUCAACAGCAGAUAUUACAGCCCGACAGCGAAGAAAAGCCACACCAAGUGCAGAAAUGGAGAGUAACGCGACUCACCUCAGUGAAGAUACACACGUGUGUUUGUUGUGUUUCUGCAGCAGAUCUUUGACCUGCGCUCAACAGCUGAUGCUCCUCCACACACUCCUCCACAUCCAGGCGGAUUCACAGCUCCAGUAAAGAUCUUUGACCUGCGCUCAACAGCUGACGCUCCUCCACACACUCCUCCACAUCCAGGCGGAUUCACAGCUCCAGUAAAGGUAUUUAUGAGCUCAUAUUUCCAGUAGAGAGUCCAGAAAGUGUGUUUGUUGUGCUGCUGCUCUGUCGCGUGUAUGUUGGGGGAGGGACUUUCUGUAGAAAGCAUGUGAUUGGCCAGAUUUGGUGUAGAGUCCUCAAUACAGUAUGAGGAGACUUUAGAGGUAAAUCAUGAUAUUUACAGUGUUUAAUUGUGUUUAGUGACAUUUAAAGCCCCACCAGCAGCUGUAAGAUAAUUUGAAACAUGUUCAUGUGUCUGAUUGAAGAAUAAGCAUGUUUGUCACAUUUUGAAUAGUGAAAUAUAAUAAUAUAUUCGCAUAUGAUGCAGUUUACAUUUAUUUAAAAUAAUUUACAUUUGAUAUGAAUUAUUUGUGUUUAUUUAGUUUUUUUUUCAAAAUGUGUAGAAUGUGGUUAUCCUCCCAUUGGAGAAAGAAAUGUGGGUUUAUAUGUGUGGUGAUGGUGAAGUGGUCAGAGCACACAGCAUGACAUCUAAAGCUGUCACAGCAUACCUGGGUUCAAAUCCAAGCACUGCUGCUGCUUUUACUGCUAAGAUAAUCAGAAAAACAACAAAGUAAUUUUAUGUGUGUGUUCCCACUCUAAUUACCUUGCACUUGUAGUGGUGUGAGCCAGACAUUGAGGUGGGUUUCAUACCCAGGCCUCUGUCGUUACCUUGUCUACCGCAAUCUUGUGUUCAUCCACUAGCCCAUCAUGGUUUUCAGUCUGUCAGCUGCUGUUUGGGCCACACUGUUUGAUUGAAUUCCAGCAACCGAAAGUAAAGUAAGCAAUAGUGGGAUUUGAACCCGUGUCUCCUGUAUGUCAGGCAGAGGCUCAUCCACUGAACCACAGGGCUUGACAUCAGGCAGUUGUUGUUUUGUGAGCCAAAUUACAAAGAAAUAUUUGUCAAACCUUGUUCAUGAUGAAAACAGUGAUAAAGCCUCAUUCAGACACAUUGAUCACCAUCUAGACUCAGUGGCUCAAGUCAUAAACUAUUGAUCUUUAAUCAAGGAGACCCGGGUUUAAACCUCACUAUGGCUAAUGUCCAUCUUGACCUCAUUAUACUGACCAGGAGCCCCUGAUGAUGGAACGAAACCCAUGAUGGGUAAAUAAACACAAGUUCUCUGAGGAAGAGACUCAUAAAGACAAGAGUUCAAAUCUGACUUGUAUCUCGAUUUGGUAGAAAUGAGAUUCGAUCCUUCACACUUCUAAAUAGCAGGCGAACGCUCAUCCUUUGAGCCACAGGGUUUGACAUUUGGCGAAAGGUUUUUCGUGGCCCAAAUUACAAAGAAACAUGUGUCAAACAUUGGUCGGUAUGAGAAUAGUGAUAAAGCCCCAAUCUGACCACUCCUUUGCUGUCCAGACUCAGUGGCUCAGGUCUUAACGUAUCGAGCUUUAAUCUAGGAGACCCGGGUUCAAACCUCACCAUGGCUAAUGUCCCACAGAGUUCAUUAUGUUCAUCAAGAUGAUGGACGCUGAUGUGAAACUAAUGAUGGUUGAUGAGUGAAUAAACACAAGUUCUCUGAGGAAGAGACUCAUAAAGACAAGGGUUCAGAUCUGACAUAUAUUCUUGUUUUAUUGAAUCAGCUCACACACAGGUCAGCAGUCCAACAUCAGUUCCAGCAAGUGUUCAGACAAGGAGAUCUGUGGCUCUGUGGUAAGAGCGCUGCCCCACGGCUUCAGGGGUUGCUGGUAUCGGUCCCAGCCAGAACUCUGCGAUAUGUGUGAAUGGCGGCAUCAGCGAGCUGCUCUUUUAGUCUGAACAACUUUGACAACAACGACACCAGAUCAGCCCAGGUACACGGUUUUAAUGGCGUCAAGUUGAGCUCCAGUAGCAGAUGACAGCUCAGUGCCAGACUCAUAAUGUCAGUCAACAGCAGAUAUUACAGCCCGACAGCGAAGAAAAGCCACACCAAGUGCAGAAAUGGAGAGUAACGCGACUCACCUCAGUGAAGAUACACACGUGUGUUUGUUGUGUUUCUGCAGCAGAUCUUUGACCUGCGCUCAACAGCUGAUGCUCCUCCACACACUCCUCCACAUCCAGGCGGAUUCACAGCUCCAGUAAAGCACAGAUGGAAAGUAAAGGAGUGUGAAGAGAAGACGCGACUCAAACACAGGUGAGACAAAUCUCUUAUCUGCAGUGAUGCUGCUUUUGAAUCACUGAUUCAUUAAACUCUGAAUCUUUAAUUUGAAUCUUUGAUUUGAAUCUUUAUUUUGACUCUUUGAUUGAAUCAGUGGUUCAGAGCACAAAUCUUUCUGCCAAUCCUGAUUUUAGAAAGAUGCUCAACAAAAUCCUGAGAUGUCAGUGUUUCUCCACUAGAGGGCGCUGAUGUGAUGAAUCUACAAUAUAGUUUAAGCUGAUCUUUAAAACAAAUGAGCUGAAUUAUUGAAAAGCAUCAAUCAUCACUACUCGACUCUCUUUAUCUUCACACAGACGUUCAGCCUGAGCUAGAAGAGACGUCUAGAAGAACCAGACGGUAAGAACAUCUUACUUUAGCUGACUCUGUCUGACCAAAUCAACAAGCUCAGUUUAGAUGACAGACAUUAAUAAUCAUCAGACAUUAACAAUCAGCAGACAUUAAUAAUCAGCAAAUCUUAAUAAUCAGCAGACAUUAAUAAUCAGCAGACAUUAAUAAUCAGCAGACAUUAAUAAUCAAUAAGUCAGUGACGUGUAAAAUCGGGCCUGUCUUAAUAGCAACACUUGCUGUCUUUGCUUUGAGCUCUUGUGUUCUUGCUGCUGUUUUCUGUGUUUGAUCAAGUGUUCAAUAUCAGACUGCAGGAGUCGACAUGUCUGAUGCUCUUACAGGACACGUGUGCUCUGUCUAGGGCUGCUCGAUUUUGGUAAAAAUCAUAAUCACGAUUAUUUUGGUCUUAAUUGUAAUCACGAUUAUUCCAAACGAUUAUUAGUUGAAGUCAAAA